GCAUCUCACCUCCUGUUGUUAAUUACCUGGCAUAGUUCACAGAGCUGAUCAACUUUGCAUGGUGUGUCCCACAGAGGAAGAGAGGAUGGUGGCAUUAGACACAUGCAGCCAGAACUCUGGGCCAGGGCUCUAGGAAUCUAGACAGCCACAGGGACCAGAGAGCCUGCCUUCAAUCUGGAUUCAAGCAGAGACCUGGAGAAAAAAGACGUGGAGUCUUAGCAGCACGAAUUUCCUGAUCCAGCCCGUAAAGCUCAGGUUCCUACAGUUCUUCCUCCAGUUUUCUGAGGCACCCCGCGUCUCUCCCAGCUGGAUGCUUGGCUAGCCCAGGGGCACGGCGCUGGUGCCACCUCUGGGCAGGGCCCGGGGAGGUCAGAGCUUCCUUGUUUAGGGGCCAGGUGCUUCCUGGGUAAAGAAACUUCUGUUGGAGGUAAGCACAGUUCUUUGCAAUUCUGUAGAUCAUAGAACUAUAUAAUUCUAUAAACCGAGACUGA
This 491-nucleotide long non-coding RNA is filed under the name Bos indicus x Bos taurus (hybrid cattle). RNAcentral's name for it is "lncRNA (ENSBIXG00005031451.1)". Lineage: Eukaryota; Metazoa; Chordata; Mammalia; Artiodactyla; Bovidae. The record is from RNAcentral.